RNAcentral lists this ribosomal RNA (253 nucleotides) under uncultured bacterium. RNAcentral describes it as "partial 16S ribosomal RNA". It matches the Rfam family "Bacterial small subunit ribosomal RNA", at positions 524 to 776 of the family's 1533-position model. The record is from RNAcentral.
UACGGGGGGAGCAAGCGUUGUUCGGAUUUACUGGGCGUAAAGAGCGUGUAGGCGGCCAGGUAGGUCUGGUGUGAAAACUCAGGGCUCAACCCUGAGCGUGCUUCCGAUACGGGCAGACUAGAGGUAUGCAGGGGAGAACGGAAUUCCUGGUGUAGCGGUGGAAUGCGCAGAUAUCAGGAGGAACACCGGUGGCGAAGGCGGAUCUCUGGGCCAUUACUGACGCUGAGGAGCGAAAGCGUGGGGAGCGAACAGG